UAACAGGACCUACUUUAAAAUCAGGUCACUUUUAGGGCCCUAUGGUUUCCGCAGACGGAAUUUACCGUAAAAUGCGUAAUGUCACAGAAUUUGUCAAACUUUGGAUGAAUUUAUCAAAAGUAGGUCAUUGCACUUAAAUCAUAUUGUGAUGUGGACUAGUAUCUGUAAAUAUUAAGCCACAAAGAUUUAGAUUUAAAUAUGAAUCGUGCAUGUUCUACGUGUCUCUGUGUGAAUGAAUGACGCAGACGCACGGUUUCGUUUACUACACACACACUGAAGCGUGCGACGCUCGCGGUGACAUAAAUACAUGAACAAUCUCCAGAACUGCUCUGAGAGCAUUUUACCAUUUCAUUUGAGUAAAACUAGCAUCAUAUCAUAUACACACAGACAUUUAAAAGUAUUCACGACAAUCCAUCGAAAUAAAAGUUUGAAGACAGAAAUAUACUAAAAUCACGCAACAUUUCUUUUUAAUAGUAAAUCCCCUUUGUUUGCCAAAAAAAUAAAAAAGGUUUAAUUUUCAAUAAUUAAAAGAUAAAUGAAAUGAAUGUUUUAUGCCUUCAUUCGAUAACCAGAAAAAUUUAAAUACACAACAGAAAACAAAUUCUAUUGUAAGAAUAGAUUUGAUCAUCAUGUUUUAAAGAAACAAAACUCUGAGCCAUUUACAGUCACACACAGAUGCAGUAGUGUGCAAACUCUACUACACGGGGGUGUUUUAGAUAACUCUAAAAUAAUUCACUUCUUUAUGUUUUUGAAAAUAUUUAUUGAAUAUAUUUAUUUUUGUUGUAAUAUUAUGUUUAAGCCUAACAAAUAAUUGACCUCAAAAAGGGAAUUCAUGAGCAAUAACUGCUUUAUUUUUUCAUAUUAGUUAUAUAUCAUAUUAUUAUAAAGAAUUGAACUGUUCUGUGUGAGACUUUUAAAAAUGAUUUUAAUAUAAUUUCUUGGCAAGUAACAGAGCAUUGUAAAUAAAAAAAAACCUAAAUGAAAAAACCUAAAAUGUGCAUCAUUUAGUUGCAUCAAACAUAAAUAACAAAAUAUAAGUGACACAUUAAAAUGAAAAGUUACACACUUUUGUGCGCGCUGUACUGGUCUGAUAUAAAGACUGAGAAACGUUUUGCUCAGCAAGAACAAAAUGAGCAGGAACAUUGCCCUGAACAUGUCAUUUUUGUUAAACUUUUAAUAAAUUGAUGUGAAAUUGCACAAGUUUCAUGAUUUUACAUGCCUUUUGCUUAACAAAAAACUUAAUUUAACCAUUAAAAAAAGAGUCCAGAAAAAUUUAAACGGAAAAAAUGGAAUUUGGGAAAAACUUAAAUGGAAUUUAUAUUUCAUAGGGCCCUACUUUCAACUUCUUUCAACCAAACAUCUGACAAAAUUGAGCUCAUCAGCAAGAUGAGGCAGCAGAUAUCAGCAAAGUUCAUAGUCCUCGGCUCGCUCGCGGUCCAGGUUGUGUUUGACCAUGGCUUUCCUCACGACUGCGGGAGUCUUAUCCUGACUGGUGACCUGAAACAGAAACACACACACAUGCUUCGAGCUGGCAGGGUUCAAACGCUUCGCACCACUGGAUCUCAGGACUGACUCUGAUGAUGCAGCAGUCGUCCACCUGCUGGUUGUAGAGCGGCAGAGAGAGAGACGAGUAGCUGGACACGCCGGAGACGGAGCGCUUGUGUGAGCGGGACGCUGUGACCGGUGUGGACGACACCGAAGACGAGGAGGCACUGCUGGAGCCAGAACCUGAGCCCAGACCCGACGCGUCCAGAGACGAGAGAGACGUGGACUCCCAGAACUAAAGGACACACACACACAGAGUGAGGCUUCUCUAUGGGUUCAGACUCCAGCCGCGAGAGAAGAACUGAUGAUUCCAGAGCAGAUCAAAUCCACAGUCUCAGUGAAAGCAAACCAUCACGUGCUGACUCACACACACACACACACACACACACGGCAGGAGUCCCGACUGUGACUACAAUGGUUGCAUUUGCAAAACUCAAUUAAAAUCUGGUAGCAGGAAACAGCUAGGGUUAGGAAUCAAAAAUCAAUUCCAAUUCCAGAAUCAAACACUUAAGGUCAGGAAUCAGAUACUUGUUGUAAAAUUAAAAUUUCACUUCCUGUGUGCGCAUCUAUUAUAUUUAGCUGGUGAAAAGGAGCUGUUAAAAAUUUAUUUGUCUUUGAAUCAUUCAUUCAAGAGAUUCAUUCAAAAACACUGAUUCACCCAGUAAUGAAUCAAGUAAAUCUUGAGUGAGUCAUUGAAUCAUUCCAUUCAGAAAUUCCAUGAGAUUUUGUUUAGCUGUCUAAUAUUCUUUCUUCAGAAUUGUGAGAGAACUACAACCUCCAUAAAAAAAAAGUCUCAAUUUAUCCAGAAUCAUGCGGCACACAAACAGCUCUUAAUCGAGUCCAGUUUUUAUGAAGCCGGCUGAUAUUUAUUCAUGGUAUUCAGCAGCAAUUAAAUGUUUUGCAAAAUAAAUGUUUGAUAUCUAAAUGUUUGACUUUGGAAUUGAAAAUGGGAAUGAAGCGAUAAGCAGAAUCGGAAUCAGAAUCAGAACUGAUCAGAUUCAAACGAUGCCCAGCCCGAGUAACAGCUCUUCAUCUGAUCAGGAGUUAAUUAAUGACGACUUUAUACCAGUGUUUCCUACAGAACUCUACAUGAACACAGUGCUGAAUCAUCAACAACUGACUUAUGAGAUGAUUUUUGUGAUGAAUCAAACAGUUUCAUAAAUAAGUCUCUAAUUCACAAGCAACUCAAAAUAACUAGGGAUGCACGAUAUUAGAUUUUUGCCGAUAUCCGAUAUGCCGAUAUUAUUCCAAUCAUUUUGGCCAAUAGCCGAUGCCGAUAACAAUAUAUAUUUCCCUUUGUUUUGAAACAACACCAGCUCUCUCCUGUGCGGAAAUUAUAAACAAACUAUUUUUAAUUUUGGUUAGUUUUGAGCAAAAACUUAGAACUAAUAAACAUUAUUAAAGUUCUUAUUUAGUGAGAGUACAUUGAAAGCCUUGAAAAUAUCUAUAAUAAAAUCAAUCUGCUGUUUUUUUUUGUCAUAUGCAGUUAAAACCUUAAUAUUUUAUUUGUCAAUUUAACAUUAAUAGAUGGUCUAAAGUAAAGGCUGUAAAAAUUAUAAAAUAUUUUAGAGCUCCUUCAUAAUCCAUUGGAAAAAACACAUUACAUAUUAUUGAGUAAAUCUGUAUAAAUUAAAGUAUUUAAUUUACAAGUGUCAUGUUUGUGAUUUUUGUUCACGUAAGCUAUAGCUUCUGACCUUUAAAUCAAAACAGACUCAUGAUUUUAUGACAUUAAUACUGCUUUAUUUAUUCAGAAACACAAGUAUCUUAAUGUUAUUUGUAUAUUUUACUUUCAAUUUAUUCCAAGUAGGCCUACAGUGCCCCUGAAGUAAAUAAAACGCAAGUCUAAACAGUGAAUCUAAUCAUAAUUCAGGCAAAAGUUUGCUUCAAGAAUGAGCACUGCUGACGUGAUCUUACGUGUGAGCUAUUCGUCUUAUCGGCACAUUUUAAGCCUUUAUCGGAUGAUUCCAAUAACAUUGGAUCUGAUAAUAUUGUGCAUCCCUAUAAAUAACUAUUAUGAAUACAGUGAUAACCAGCGUGAAAUAUAGUGCAUUACUUUAAAUCAGUACAUCAUUGGGAACACUUUCCGGUGCUGAGAUUGAGCGGAAACACUGGCACACGUCUUUACAAUGUAGAAUUGAGCAAUUCUGUCAUUUUGUAACUAUAUAACAUCACUUGGCUCUGUCUGUUUAGGAGUUUGUUUGUUUAGUCGGGAUCCCUGGCACACUCAAGAACGACGACUAGAGUGAUCUGCAACCAGCUAACCAUGACUAACACACACAAACACAAAGACACACAGCAGAAACGCCGGUGAUGAUGAACUCGGAGAGAAAUGAGUGUUUUCCAGACAUGGACGGGCGGAGAGACGGAAUGAGAGCGUCGGGUGAAUCAGAGAUGAAGCUGAUGUUGACCUCCUCCACGUCGGAGCUGCUGGAGCCGGCGGAGGUCACGCUGAGAGAGUCGCCGCCGUCACCGGCCGAGCCGCUCAAACCCGGCGGGAACCGCAGCUGAUCG
This is a long non-coding RNA of Onychostoma macrolepis, 4056 nucleotides long. RefSeq lists it as uncharacterized. The record is from RefSeq and is a predicted model, not a curated record. The transcript has 4 exons. Lineage: Eukaryota; Metazoa; Chordata; Actinopteri; Cypriniformes; Cyprinidae.